RNAcentral lists this small nucleolar RNA (77 nucleotides) under Tetrahymena malaccensis 436. RNAcentral's name for it is "Tetrahymena snoRNA TtnuCD5". It matches the Rfam family "Tetrahymena snoRNA TtnuCD5". Lineage: Eukaryota; Ciliophora; Oligohymenophorea; Hymenostomatida; Tetrahymenidae. The record is from Rfam by way of RNAcentral.
UAAUGAUGAGAUUAGAAACGCUGAUUAUAACUCUCUUGAAAAAAAAUUUGAAAACUACCUUCUUUCCCCUACUGACU